UACGUAGGGACCGAGCGUUGUCCGGAAUCAUUGGGCGUAAAGAGCGUGUAGGCGGCUUGUUAAGUCUUGCGUGAAAUCUCGGGGCUCAACCCCGAGCGGUCGUGAGAAACUGGCAGGCUAGAGUGCGGGAGAGGAGAGUGGAAUUCCUGGUGUAGCGGUGAAAUGCGCAGAUAUCAGGAAGAACACCCGUGGCGAAGGCGGCUCUCUGGAACGCAACUGACGCUGAGACGCGAAAGCGUGGGAGCAAACAGG
This 252-nucleotide ribosomal RNA is filed under the name uncultured bacterium. RNAcentral's name for it is "partial 16S ribosomal RNA". It matches the Rfam family "Bacterial small subunit ribosomal RNA", at positions 524 to 776 of the family's 1533-position model. The record is from RNAcentral.